AGAUAGUAAUAUGGCCAAGGUGCAUGCAGAAGAUUCCACAGGAAACGAUAUUGAAAUGGAGAAUGCAGACACAAAGAUAGAGAAUUAUGAAACCGAUAUUCCCUCAGGAGAUGUUGCAAAAGAUGAAGAAAAAGAAAAGUUUCAAGCAGUUCUCAAAGAAUUGGCAAUAGACAC
Molecule: long non-coding RNA, 174 nt
Organism: Mizuhopecten yessoensis (Yesso scallop)
Lineage: Eukaryota; Metazoa; Mollusca; Bivalvia; Pectinida; Pectinidae
Exons: 3
Source: RefSeq, a predicted model, not a curated record